GACGAACGCUGGCGGCGUGCCUAAUACAUGCAAGUAGAACGCACAGUUUAUACCGUAGCUUGCUACACCAUAGACUGUGAGUUGCGAACGGGUGAGUAACGCGUAGGUAACCUGCCUGGUAGCGGGGGAUAACUAUUGGAAACGAUAGCUAAUACCGCAUAAUAUUGAUUAUUGCAUGAUAAUUGAUUGAAAGAUGCUAUUGCAUCACUACCAGAUGGACCUGCGUUGUAUUAGCUAGUAGGUGAGGUAACGGCUCACCUAGGCGACGAUACAUAGCCGACCUGAGAGGGUGAUCGGCCACACUGGGACUGAGACACGGCCCAGACUCCUACGGGAGGCAGCAGUAGGGAAUCUUCGGCAAUGGACGAAAGUCCGACCGAGCAACGCCGCGUGAGUGAAGAAGGUUUUCGGAUCGUAAAGCUCUGUUGUAAGAGAAGAACGGGUGUGAGAGUGGAAAGUUCACACUGUGACGGUAUCUUACCAGAAAGGGACGGCUAACUACGUG
This 505-nucleotide ribosomal RNA is filed under the name uncultured bacterium. RNAcentral's name for it is "partial 16S ribosomal RNA". It matches the Rfam family "Bacterial small subunit ribosomal RNA", at positions 28 to 507 of the family's 1533-position model. The record is from RNAcentral.